Molecule: ribosomal RNA, 521 nt
Filed under: uncultured Glomus
Lineage: Eukaryota; Fungi; Glomeromycota; Glomeromycetes; Glomerales; Glomeraceae
Description: SSU rRNA
Rfam family: Eukaryotic small subunit ribosomal RNA
Source: RNAcentral
AGCAGCCGCGGUAAUUCCAGCUCCAAUAGCGUAUAUUAAAGUUGCUGCAGUUAAAAAGCUCGUAGUUGAAUUUCGGGACCAUCAUGUCGGUCGUGCCUCGGUACGUACUGGUAUUGUUGGUUUCUCCCUUCUGACGAACCAUGAUGUCAUUUAUUUGGUGUUGUGGGGAAUCAGGACUGUUACUUUGAAAAAAUUAGAGUGUUUAAAGCAGGCUCACGCUUGGAUACAUUAGCAUGGAAUAAUGAAAUAGGACGUUUGAUUCUAUUUUGUUGGUUUCUAGGAUCGACGUAAUGAUUAAUAGGGAUAGUUGGGGGCAUUAGUAUUCAAUUGUCAGAGGUGAAAUUCUUGGAUUUAUUGAAGACUAACUACUGCGAAAGCAUUUGCCAAGGAUGUUUUCAUUAAUCAAGAACGAAAGUUAGGGGAUCGAAGACGAUCAGAUACCGUCGUAGUCUUAACCAUAAACUAUGCCGACUAGGGAUCGGAUGAUGUUAAUUUUUUAAUGACUCAUUCGGCGCCUUACG